Long non-coding RNA from Camelina sativa (false flax), 1223 nucleotides. RefSeq lists it as uncharacterized. The record is from RefSeq and is a predicted model, not a curated record. Lineage: Eukaryota; Viridiplantae; Streptophyta; Magnoliopsida; Brassicales; Brassicaceae.
CUAACAUGUUUUAUUUUGCAGCUUAUAAAAUAUUUGUUUCUGUAAAUAUAUAACUUAUACGUACGUUGCUCGUAAGGCUCGCUAUUACCCUUUUUUUUCCUUUUCAAGAAUUUUCUCUCCUUUUUAUUCUCUCUAAAGGGCGAUUAGGUCAAGCCGCCACAGACUCGUUUUCUCAGCCUUGCCUCUCCAGCGGCCACCACGGCGCUGUGAGAAGGCUCUCUAGUUCUUUUCCUGUCAUUCUCUUGUUUGUUGUUAGCUAUGUUUGCGGAAUUUUGGCCUUUGUUAGAAGAGUUGCUGGUGAACUCGGGUGGUGAAAGGGUGGUCUUUGCGGAAGCGGUCGAGGUGGGUCAGAUCUAUUCGUUUCGAGAUCAAUAUCUGCUUUUGUGCUUUUCAUCGUCUCUAUGCCGCUGAUGUGGUUUUGGGUGGUCUCUCGUUAGUUUCCCUCAAGCUUUCAUCUUUUCGCUUGCUCUAUCUCUCCUUGGUUCAGCCUUUGGUUUUCAUCUGGGUUGCUCCAGUUGCUUUGAUUUGUCUGAAGUUGAUGCUAGUUUCAAAGUUGACAGAUCUUCCAAUUCGGGGUGGAGAUUGCAGUGAAUGGUAGCUGGCUUGUUUUGAUGGUGUUCUUGUUCGCAAGAAGGGUUAUCUCGGGUGGUUAGGUUUGGCUCCUUGUCUUUGCUUUGCAGAUCGGGUAGAGAUCUGAAAGUGUUUUGUAGACUUCUAUCUAUGCGUAAUUGGGUGGCGCGUGUGUCGUUAUCGUCGUCGCAUCCGGGAGUGGUUGAGGUUCCUCUAAGGUCUCACUUGCCGGGUUAUGAAGGUCUUGGGCUCGGUUUGGAGAGGUCGGCUCUCAUCUUGAUAGGAGGAAGCGGUUGUUAUCUUUGGUUUGCCGAGGGCAUCAAGGAUAAAUCUCAUUCUUAGGAUUUUCAGAAGAAGAAGUUGAUUUGGUGAACUUUGAGCUAGCGUCUCAGAAGAUUGAAGUCUUGUUGUUUUUCUUUUUAAACUUUGGUUGCAAUUUCUUUUGAGUUGAGGCUUAUAAUUUCUGCUUUGUAUGUUUAAUGGUUCUUGCUUUCAGUUUAGUUUCCGGGGACUUUUCUUUCAUCCGUCAGCUUAGCCUCCCUUGUUUGGGCUUUAGAUUCCGGGGAUAUUUAUGUGUUUCGCCGGCUUAAGUUUGUAUUUUAUGUAUCCUUCAAGUUUAUUAUCAAUAACAACAUCAGAUGACAAAAAAAACA